Molecule: unclassified non-coding RNA, 375 nt
Filed under: fungal sp.
Lineage: Eukaryota; Fungi
Description: partial internal transcribed spacer region
Source: RNAcentral
AAGUCGUAACAAGGUUUCCGUAGGUGAACCGGAAGGAUCAUUAACACGUAUCCAACGUUAAAACCCCCAUCGUACGUAGCAAUCCCUGGUAAAUCAUCGCCGAACAGUUUUGAUUCAGGGACCUCUAUAGUCCGAAGAGUCAUACCAUUAGAGCAUAUAGCAAUGGAUCUGGCAUUCCUCUUGUUAGUGUCUGAAAGUGUCACUAGCUCUGUACGGAUGGCGCAGUAACGAUCGCUGGAGGCCACGGCCGGCGACCAGGUCCCUGGGUGAAACCCCCCUAUAGUCACCUCCAUUGCACGAUUAACGCGGUGCGAUUCGUACGCACCCUCCAUCGAAUCCUUAGAACAACUGUUAACAAUGGAUAUCUUGGUUCUC